Molecule: non-coding RNA, 21 nt
Filed under: Caenorhabditis elegans
Lineage: Eukaryota; Metazoa; Nematoda; Chromadorea; Rhabditida; Rhabditidae
Source: RNAcentral
UCGGAAUUUUAUGAACACACU